UUGCCAGGCUGGUCUCAAUCUCUUGACCUCUCAGGUGAUCCACCCACUUUGGCCUCCCAGAGUGCUAGGAUUAUAGGCAUGAGCCACCAUGCCUGGCCCCUUUUUUUAUUUUUAAGAAAGUAGUCAUUGUGAAGUAGCAUGCCUUAGAAAGUUGCUUUUAGGAUGCCUUGGGAAAUGAUAGUCUGUAUCUCUCAGAGAACGAACUGUGGGCAUUUGGGGAAAGGAUGGCUAGCAAAUUAUUUUGGGAAUCUCUCUGGACCAAGUUGAAAUGCAUAGGUUUUCCAGGAUGACAUGGUAUUUUGGGUGGUAUAUGAGAUUGCUUGCCACUCCUUUUCUUUUAGUUAUUUUGAUCACUGCAUUUAGUUUAUAUUAAUAUCAGAGGAAUACAAUAUUAGAGUUGAAUGAAUUGAAUAGUGGGCCACUAAGUAAAAAUGGCAGGCAAUCUGAGCUAAGAAGGAUCAUUUUUUUCAGCCACUGCAUUACCGUUGUUAUAGAGUUGCUAAGGGGACUGAUAAUAAUAGAUCCUGUCAUAAGGUGAUCUUAGAACAAUUGUUAAUUAAUGUUACACAGUUCAGAACACUUGGCAAAUGAAAAGUCUCUGCAGGUGAAAUGCUGUGGAGGGGAAAGAUUUUCAGAACUUUGAUGAUGAACCAUGGUAUCAUCAUCAACAAGUUCGCUUGUUGGCUGAACCACUAUGGUUGAUAACUAUUACAAACUUUCAGCCUGUUUCAAAUAGCUGAUAAAACGAUAGUGGUUCAGCCAACAAGAUUUGAACUGAAUCUUUUUGGGAAAGAGUUGUGGUGGACAAGAGUUAAAAGGCAUGGAUUUAGUUCCUUACAAGUGUUCCCUAAAGUUGUUCAUAGUAUUAUUCCUAUUUGGCAGGCAUACAAACUCUGGCUCAAUAGAUUGAUUAAGGUGUCUAAGAGUAUACAG
Long non-coding RNA from Sapajus apella (tufted capuchin), 933 nucleotides. RefSeq lists it as uncharacterized. The record is from RefSeq and is a predicted model, not a curated record. Lineage: Eukaryota; Metazoa; Chordata; Mammalia; Primates; Cebidae. The transcript is spliced from 3 exons.